This 497-nucleotide ribosomal RNA is filed under the name uncultured bacterium. RNAcentral describes it as "partial 16S ribosomal RNA". It matches the Rfam family "Bacterial small subunit ribosomal RNA", at positions 28 to 507 of the family's 1533-position model. The record is from RNAcentral.
GAUGAACGCUGGCGGCGCGCCUAAUACAUGCAAGUCGAGCGAACGGACGAGAAGCUUGCUUCUCUGAUGUUAGCGGCGGACGGGUGAGUAACACGUGGAUAACCUACCUAUAAGACUGGGAUAACUUCGGGAAACCGGAGCUAAUACCGGAUAAUAUUUUGAACCGCAUGGUUCAAAAGUGAAAGACGGUCUUGCUGUCACUUAUAGAUGGAUCCGCGCUGCAUUAUCUAGUUGGUAAGGUAACGGCUUACCAAGGCAACGAUGCAUAGCCGACCUGAGAGGGUGAUCGGCCACACUGGAACUGAGACACGGUCCAGACUCCUACGGGAGGCAGCAGUAGGGAAUCUUCCGCAAUGGGCGAAAGCCUGACGGAGCAACGCCGCGUGAGUGAUGAAGGUCUUCGGAUCGUAAAACUCUGUUAUUAGGGAAGAACAUAUGUGUAAGUAACUGUGCACAUCUUGACGGUACCUAAUCAGAAAGCCACGGCUAACUACGUG